UACAGGGAUGUGGCUCAGUGGUAGAGUGCUUGCCUAGCCUGCAGGAGGCCCUGGGUUCAAUCCCCAGUGCUGGAA
This 75-nucleotide transfer RNA is filed under the name Marmota monax (woodchuck). RNAcentral's name for it is "tRNA.Ala". The stretch from base 11 to 67 matches the Rfam family "tRNA", at positions 8 to 63 of the family's 71-position model. Rfam says of the family: Transfer RNA (tRNA) molecules are approximately 80 nucleotides in length. Their secondary structure includes four short double-helical elements and three loops (D, anti-codon, and T loops). Lineage: Eukaryota; Metazoa; Chordata; Mammalia; Rodentia; Sciuridae. The record is from RNAcentral.